RNAcentral lists this ribosomal RNA (381 nucleotides) under uncultured eukaryote. RNAcentral's name for it is "SSU rRNA". It matches the Rfam family "Eukaryotic small subunit ribosomal RNA", at positions 587 to 972 of the family's 1831-position model. The record is from RNAcentral.
AGCUCCAAUAGCAUAUAUUUAAGUUGUUGCAGUUAAAAAGAUCGUAGUUGGAUUUUGGGACGUAAAGGUCGGUCCGCCUACUCAGUGUGCACCUGCCCUUCCGUCCCUUUUGUCGGCGGCGUGCUCCUGGCCUUAAUUGGCUGGGUCGCGGUUCCGGCGCUGUUACUUUGAAAAAAUUAGAGUGCUCAAAGCAAGCUUAUGCUCUGAAUACAUUAGCAUGGAAUAACGUGAUAGGAGUCUGGUCCUAUUGUGUUGGCCUUCGGGACCGGAGUAAUGAUUAAUAGGGACUGUCGGGGGCAUUCGUAUUUCAUUGUCAGAGGUGAAAUUCUUGGAUUUAUGAAAGACGGACCACUGCGAAAGCAUUUGCCAAGGAUGUUUUCA